GAGUUUGAUCUUGGCUCAGAUUGAACGCUGGCGGCAUGCCUUACACAUGCAAGUCGAACGGCAGCACGGGAGCUUGCUCCUGGUGGCGAGUGGCGAACGGGUGAGUAAUGCAUCGGAACGUAUCCUGGAGUGGGGGAUAACGUAGCGAAAGUUACGCUAAUACCGCAUAUUCUGUGAGCAGGAAAGCGGGGGACCUUCGGGCCUCGCGCUCUUGGAGCGGCCGAUGUCGGAUUAGCUAGUUGGUGAGGUAAAGGCUCACCAAGGCGACGAUCCGUAGCAGGUCUGAGAGGAUGAUCUCGCCACACUAGGAACUGAGACACGGUCCAGACCUUCCGACGGGAGCAG
Molecule: ribosomal RNA, 345 nt
Filed under: bacterium enrichment culture clone ALO1_GLFRUDD03FR72A
Lineage: Bacteria
Description: bacterial SSU rRNA
Rfam family: Bacterial small subunit ribosomal RNA
Source: RNAcentral